RNAcentral lists this long non-coding RNA (766 nucleotides) under Cyanistes caeruleus (blue tit). RNAcentral's name for it is "lncRNA (ENSCCEG00000008869.1)". Lineage: Eukaryota; Metazoa; Chordata; Aves; Passeriformes; Paridae. The record is from RNAcentral.
GUUUUUAAUAGUGGCUGGCUUGCAGAGUUAUAGUGAGAAGGGUUUGACUUGGAAGUGCAACAUGGGUGGGAAUUCAGCUUCCCAAUGAAGAAAACAGUUGUGUGACUGGGCCUUUCUGACCAUCUGAAAAUGUAUAUAAUUUUAAACCAUUUGAGCUAUUUUUACUGGGAGCUCCCCCAUGGUUGCUUAAUUAAAGAAAAUGACGAGUUAAUCCUGAGAGGAAAUGCACCUUGGAUAUGUGAUCUUCUAAUUUGUACCCAGGGAUGAGGACUGGAACCACACUGGAGCACAACAAGGGUCCUGCAGAAAUACAGAAAACAGCACAAAUUGCACAGGUUUUGGAUUGAGGCUUCUUCAGUGAGUGCUGUGUGUGACUGACAGGUGUAAUUUAAAAGAAGAAAGGAUGCUAUAAAUAUUUUUAAAGACAACAUAGCUCCAUCUCUGAAUAUAGAGGUCUUUCUGCCUCACAAACUCCAUAUAAAGAUGCAUGUCCUUAGGAGACAGUAAGUAAAGUAGUAGUGAAGCUUUUAUCUCUCCAAACCAUUAAACACAAUGACAAAAAUAAGGGUUGGUCACAUAAUACCGUACAAAUGGAAAAUGGAAGAGCACUUGAAAUGAUGCUGUAUGAUAUAUACCCCCUGUAUGCUGAAACUAUGACGUUAAAUUUACCACUUUUUUGAUUGUUAAUUUAAUCAAUCAGAUGUAAUCAGUUUAAUUAUCAGGGAUUCCUGAAAUGUUUUGGUGUUUUUUGUUGAUAGAUGUGAUG